UGGGGAAUAUUGCACAAUGGGCGGAAGCCUGAUGCAGCGACGCCGCGUGGGGGAUGAAGGCCUUCGGGUUGUAAACUCCUUUCGACAGGGACGAAGCUUUUGUGACGGUACCUGUAUAAGAAGCACCGGCUAACUACGUGCCAGCAGCCGCGGUAAUACGUAGGGUGCGAGCGUUGUCCGGAAUUACUGGGCGUAAAGAGCUCGUAGGUGGUUUGUCGCGUCGUCUGUGAAAUUCCGGGGCUUAACUCCGGGCGUGCAGGCGAUACGGGCUGACUUGAGUGCUGUAGGGGAGACUGGAAUUCCUGGUGUAGCGGUGAAAUGCGCAGAUAUCAGGAGGAACACUGAUGGCGAAGGCAGGUCUCUGGGCAGUAACUGACGCUGAGGAGCGAAAGCAUGGGUAGCGAACAGG
This 409-nucleotide ribosomal RNA is filed under the name Actinomycetes bacterium. RNAcentral's name for it is "Actinobacteria bacterium partial 16S ribosomal RNA". It matches the Rfam family "Bacterial small subunit ribosomal RNA", at positions 355 to 776 of the family's 1533-position model. Lineage: Bacteria; Bacillati; Actinomycetota; Actinomycetes. The record is from RNAcentral.